Long non-coding RNA from Stegostoma tigrinum, 3526 nucleotides. RefSeq lists it as uncharacterized. The record is from RefSeq and is a predicted model, not a curated record. The transcript is spliced from 4 exons. NCBI's taxonomy places the organism in Eukaryota, Metazoa, Chordata, Chondrichthyes, Orectolobiformes, Stegostomatidae.
UAAAAGGGUCCCCUAGUCUUGAAAUUCCCCCCAUCCUGGGGAAAUGAUAGCCACCAUUAACUCUAUCCCUCAUUAUCAUACAAACUCAGACCAGGUUGCUUCUCAACCUCCUACGCUCCAGUGAAAAGUGUUCCAGCCUACCCAGCCCUUUCUUUGUAACUCACACCUUCCAUAUCUGGCAACAGGAGAAUCACAGAGGCCAUUCGACCCAUCAGGUCUGCAGCCAAAAUGCAUCCCACCCAGAUUUACCAUCCCCACCUUAUCUCUGUCAGGUCAUCCAGUGACCCGUAACUGCCUCCCCAGAAGGCAGGGGAAUGAGUCAUAGAAACAGACCCUUCUGUCUAGGCUGACCAAGUUCCCCAAACUGAACUCGUUCCAUGUGCCUGCAUUUGGCUAACGUCCCUCUAUGCCUUUCCUGCUCUUGUACCUGUCCCAAUGUCUUUUAAAUGUUGAAACUGUACCCACAUCCACCACUUCCUCUGGCAGCUUGUUCCGCCAGAGAAACUCUGUUGUGUGAGGAGGUUUCAAGCCUUGAGCUGUAGCAACGAGGGCAGGAGCGCACUCAGCUGAGGAAAAUGAAGCGGAGCGGUGCCAGAUGUUGGAUUCUCCCGGAGUAUGGGCGUCCUACCUGUGGGGUGCUUGAAACUGAUGGAAACAAAGAGUGGGAGUUCCACAUUCCAAGAGAGCCUUACUCACUGCCAGUUCUGAAGAUACACAGGAGCGAGGUGAAGAGUCAGAGCUGAAGGUUAACAGCCCAGCACUAAACAUGCGGCAGAUCAUGAGGGCAAGACUGAUUGGAAUCAGCAGCAGUUUCUAAAAGAAGCAAAUCCCAGUUAUGACUAGAUGUUAAGAUAUAACAUCGAACAUAGAACAGUACUGCACAAGGCAAGCCCUUCGGCCCACUAUGUUGUGCUGGCCUAUUAUCCUACUCCAAGGUCAAUCUACCCUACAUUUUACUAUCCUCCAUGUGCCAUCCAAGAGUUGCUUAAAAGUCUCUCAAGCAUCUGACUGCACUAUCACUGCCAUUCUACUUGGAGAGAAUCAUAAAUAAAGCUUCCGCUACGAAUAAAGGAUAAAGAAGCUUUCUUUGAAAAAGUACCAGCACUUUAGUGUUUUAACCAAGUCUGUGCUGACUCUCAGACUGCCAGGUCGACUGUAUUGGAGAUGCUGGGCGUCAAUCCUGGAGGUCUCGCUUACAAUCCAAGGAUCCCACUGCCACUCCUGCGCCAGCCUCCCCUCCACAUGUCUCCAGGACUCACCUGGACUUGUCGCCCCCAUGUUGGCCCCUUUUGUUCUCUAGCAUUCACCUCCAGUACAUUAAAGGUGAAAGUUUGAAAUAAAAGAGAAAGAGCAGAAUCGCAGAGGGGAGGUGAGAGUGACAGCCCUUGAUAUCAAGGCUGCAUUCAACCGAGUGUGGCAUCAAGGAGUCCGAGCAAAACUGGAAUCAAUGGGUGUCAGGGGCAAACUCUCUGCUGUUUGGAGUCACACAUGACACAUAGGAAGAUGGUCGUAGCUGUGGGAGACCAGUCAUCUCAGCUCCAGGACAUCUCUGCAGGAGUUCCUCAGGGUAGUGUCCUCAAUCCAACCACCUUCAGCUGCUUCAUCAAUGACCUUCCCUCCAUCAUAAGGUCAGAAGUGGGGACGUUCACCAAUGAAUGCACAAUGUUCAGCACCAUUCGUGACUCCUCAGAUACUGAAGCAGUCCACGUGCAAAUGCAACAAGAUCUGGGCAAUAUUAGGCUUGAGGCUGAGAACAUAUAUUCAAACCAGAGGCUAUGACAAUCUCCGAUAAGAGACAAUCUAACCAACACCCUUUGACAUUCAAUGGCGUUACCAUCACUGAAUCCCCCACUAUCAACAUCCUGGGGGUUACCAUUGACCAGAAACUCAACUGGACUCACCACAUUAACAGAGUGGCUUCAACAGCUGGCUAGAAACUGGGAACACUGCGACUCCCCACAGAAGCAAAAAGCUGGCCUUACGUGAGAAGAGCGCAUUAAUCAGGAGACUGAAAGGUGAGCCGGUCUGACGUUGCUGGCUUUGACCCAGCACCCUGGGCUGGAAAGCUGGGAUCACAAGUGCACGGGCUGUGUACAGAUACACACAUCUCAGAUACCUCGGCAUUUCAGCGGGCUGGGAGCUAAAUAGCUUAAAGCACAAGAAAAAGCAAUGACCACAAUACCACAAAAGAAGACAAAGGGCUGCAGAUACUGGAAGGCUGAAACCAAGAGACAACAUGCUGCAGAAGCUCAACAGGUCUGGUGACAUCCAUUGAGAGAAAGUAGGGAAAGGGUCACUGUGCUGAAUGCAGUGAUUCUGUUUUCCUCUGUACAGCGCUGCCAGAGCUGUUGAGUUUCUCCAGUGAUUUCUGGGCUAACAUUCCUCUUCGCAAACUCAACGCCGUGGGCUCAGAGAUGAGGACAGACUCCGAGGACGAAGCAUGUACACACAUGCUGAGGCAAGACAUGAGAAGAUGCACACAUGAGCCUGAGUGUGCUUAUCGAACAGCAUAGACAUAUGAGUGUCUCUGUGUGUAUCUCUGAGAUAGAGAGAGAGAGAGAGAGAGAGACAACAGGCAUGUGUGAGCCUGUCAGUGUUUGUAGCAUGCUUCGUGACAUGGGCACACACCAUCAGUAAGGGCUACACAGACAUUGAAGAUUUGGGCGACCACCAGGAAGAUUGAGUAAGUACAGGAGGGUAGUGCGGGCAGAUUCCUGUGGCCAUUCCCCUCUCCAACAGGAAUAUCGUGUUGGAUACUGUUGGGGGUCCUGGUAUCUCAAGGGAAAAAAGCAGCAGCAGCAGAAGCAGCUAGAUCAGUGGCACCCCCGACUGUCACUUCUGCACAGCGGGCGGAAUCAAAGUGUAGGCGAGCUCGGACAGGCAUCUCUGUGGACGCGAGCAGGACAGCAGGGUUGUGUGGUGCCGGGGUCAAGGAUGUCUCUGAGCGGGCACUGAAUACUCUGAAUGGGAAGGGUGAGCAGCCAGAAGUUGUGGUUCACAUCGGCACUAGCGACACAGGCAGAAGGAGAGAUAAGGUCCUGCAAAGGGAGUACAGCGAUUGAGGUAGGAGGUUGAAACACAGGGCCCUGUAGCGUUGUAAUCUCGGAAUUAUUUCCUGCGUUACCAGCCAGUGAGGCUAGGAGCAGGAUGAUUGUAUGGUAUAUAUGUAGCUAAAGAGCUGGUGUAGGAGGGAGGCCUUCAGGAAUGUGGUUCAUUGGGAUGUUGUCUGAGGCAGGUGGGACCUGUCCAAGGAGGAUGGGCUCCAGCUAAACUGGAGAGACACUAAUUGGAUGGCGGGGAGAUUUGCUAGUGCCACUCAGGAGAGUUUCAACGCGAGUGGCAGGGUGGCAGGAACCAGAGUGGGAGGUCAGCAAAUGAAAUGACCAAGAAGGAGUCAGAGACUGAUGGUGUGUGCCCAGAUCACGGUUAGGAGGAAGAACAGAGAGGGAAGGGAAAGUUACUGAUUAAACGGGGACUGGCAGUCAGGGCUGUCUUUGUUUCAAAUUGAGAAAAAUGACAGAUGAAC